UACAGAGGGGGCAAGCGUUGUUCGGAAUUACUGGGCGUAAAGGGCGCGUAGGCGGCCUGCUAAGUCGAACGUGAAAUCCCCGGGCUCAACCCGGGAACUGCGUCCGAUACUGGCAGGCUUGAAUCCGGGAGAGGGAUGUGGAAUUCCAGGUGUAGCGGUGAAAUGCGUAGAUAUCUGGAGGAACACCGGUGGCGAAGGCGGCAUCCUGGGCCGGCAUUGACGCUGAGGCGCGAAAGCCAGGGGAGCAAACGGG
This 253-nucleotide ribosomal RNA is filed under the name uncultured bacterium. Its description in RNAcentral is "partial 16S ribosomal RNA". It matches the Rfam family "Bacterial small subunit ribosomal RNA", at positions 524 to 776 of the family's 1533-position model. The record is from RNAcentral.